Drosophila virilis is the source of this 565-nucleotide long non-coding RNA. RefSeq lists it as uncharacterized. The record is from RefSeq and is a predicted model, not a curated record. Lineage: Eukaryota; Metazoa; Arthropoda; Insecta; Diptera; Drosophilidae.
AAUUGGUCUGCAUUAUGGAAAAUACAUUUCAUUGGAGUCUCAGCUUAGUGUGAAACACAAUCGGCUGAAGAUAAUAAUAAAGUUUCAAGUAAACUUAUUCAUAAUUUUAUACGCUUUAACAGGAUAUUUGCAAAAGUCAAUAUUUGUACUCAUUUAUAACCGGUUAAAUAAAUAAUGUUUAAAAUUUAAAUGGUUCGAAAUUUGCUCGCAUAUCAUGUUCCAACUUUACAUAUAUAAAUCCGUAGAAAUAAAUAUUGUCUUUCAUUUUCUUGGUGGCUCGAAUCCUGAGCUACGUGUUGGAUAGAAAAUUGCUGCUGGAUUUGUACAAGCGAACCCUCGCUUGUUCUCCAACAUCGAUCUAAAAGGAAGUUUCAUCUUUCUAGAUCUUCCUAUUUGAGCGAAACGUUGGGCACUUCAAGCUAUUAAUAACUAUUUUAAAUAUAUCACAAUGCCGGAAAUGUCUUGUAUGCACACAUUAUGGGAAUUUUGCCGCAGGUGCCACACUGAAAUUUCGUCUUCGACACAGGCGGCUUCCGUUUAGCUGUUGUCUUGGCUGCUGCCGUCU